This is a non-coding RNA of Oryza nivara, 205 nucleotides long. The record is from Rfam. NCBI's taxonomy places the organism in Eukaryota, Viridiplantae, Streptophyta, Magnoliopsida, Poales, Poaceae.
UUUUCGUGCAAACAUAAGUUUUCGCGCAUAAUUCUGAUCGGCUGUCUUAUUUAAAAUUUUUUUAUAAUUAGUAUUUUCGUUGUUAUGAGAUAAUAAAACAUGAAUAGAACUUUACUCAUAACUUAUGUUUUAAUUUUUUAAAAAAUAAAUUUUAAAUAAGAUGAACGGUUAAAGUUGGGCACAGAAAAUUAUGGCUACACUAGAA